AAUCGGAUGGGAGGCAAUGACGCGCGGCUCCCUACUCGGUCGCCCGAGCCGCGCCGAGCCACUGGCGAGCCCGACCCGUCCAGGG
Molecule: non-coding RNA, 85 nt
Submitted as: unclassified sequences
Source: Rfam